This 495-nucleotide ribosomal RNA is filed under the name uncultured bacterium. RNAcentral's name for it is "partial 16S ribosomal RNA". It matches the Rfam family "Bacterial small subunit ribosomal RNA", at positions 28 to 507 of the family's 1533-position model. The record is from RNAcentral.
GACGAACGCUGGCGGCGUGCCUAAUACAUGCAAGUCGAACGCUGAAGGAGGAGCUUGCUUCUCUGGAUGAGUUGCGUACGGGUGAGUAACGCGUAGGUAACCUGCCUGGUAGCGGGGGAUAACUAUUGGAAACGAUAGCUAAUACCGCAUAAUAGUAGAUGUCGCAUGACAUUUGCUUAAAAGUUGCAAUUGCAUCACUACCAGAUGGACCUGCGUUGUAUUAGCUAGUUGGUGAGGUAACGGCUCACCAAGGCAACGAUACAUAGCCGACCUGAGAGGGUGAUCGGCCACACUGGGAAUGGGAAAACGCCCAGAAUCCUACGGGAGGCAGCAGGAGGGAAUCUUCGGCAAUGGACGGAAGUCUGACCGAGCAACGCCGCGGGAGGGAAGAAGGGUUUCGGAUCGUAAAGCUCUGUUGUAAGGGAAGAACGAGUGUGAGAGUGGAAAGUUCACACUGUGACGGUAUCUUACCAGAAAGGGACGGCUAACUACGUG